RNAcentral lists this non-coding RNA (24 nucleotides) under Cricetulus griseus (Chinese hamster). Lineage: Eukaryota; Metazoa; Chordata; Mammalia; Rodentia; Cricetidae. The record is from RNAcentral.
AAAUUUUAGUGAAUGUGGAACUGG